CCAGUCUUAUCGACAUCAUCGAUCUCUGACUCGAUGAUCUAAUAACUAAAAAUAUUUUAAAUUGGGACUAUCAAAAUUUUAGAUCUCACUAGUAUGAUCUCAUUAUGGUCCUAAAAUUAUUAUCUUAAUCUAUGGGAUUUAUCAUAAUCAUAAAAAUAUGAUGCAGUAAAUGAUAAAACAUAAUACCUCAUGAAUAAAAUAACUAAUAUCAUGC
RNAcentral lists this long non-coding RNA (214 nucleotides) under Elaeis guineensis (African oil palm). RNAcentral's name for it is "long non-coding RNA (EGUI_LNC038193)". The record is from RNAcentral. Lineage: Eukaryota; Viridiplantae; Streptophyta; Magnoliopsida; Arecales; Arecaceae.